RNAcentral lists this ribosomal RNA (1632 nucleotides) under metagenome. RNAcentral describes it as "bacterial LSU rRNA". It matches the Rfam family "Bacterial large subunit ribosomal RNA", at positions 1293 to 2925 of the family's 2925-position model. The record is from RNAcentral.
CUUGCUGACAUGAGUAGCGAUAAAGGGGGUGAAAGGCCCCCUCGCCGUAAGCCCAAGGUUUCCUACGCAACGUUCAUCGGCGUAGGGUGAGUCGGCCCCUAAGGCGAGGCAGAAAUGCGUAGCUGAUGGGAAGCAGGUUAAUAUUCCUGCACCAUUGUUAAAUGCGAUGGGGGGACGGAUCGCGGAAGGUUGUCCGGGUGUUGGAAGUCCCGGUCGCUGCGUUGGAGAAGGCACUCAGGCAAAUCCGGGUGCGUAAUUCAAGGGCGUGGCGCCAUUCACUUCGGUGAAGAAGCAAUCGGAAGUGGUUCCAAGAAAAGCCUCUAAGCUUCAGUUUAACAGGACCGUACCGCAAACCGACACAGGUGGGCGAGAUGAGUAUUCUAAGGCGCUUGAGAGAACUCGGGAGAAGGAACUCGGCAAAUUGGUACCGUAACUUCGGGAUAAGGUACGCCCCUGUAGCCUGACUGGCCUGCGCCAGAAGGGUGAAGGGGUUGCAAUAAACUGGUGGCUGCGACUGUUUAAUAAAAACACAGCACUCUGCAAACACGAAAGUGGACGUAUAGGGUGUGACGCCUGCCCGGUGCCGGAAGAUUAAAUGAUGGGGUGCAAGCUCUUGAUUGAAGUCCCGGUAAACGGCGGCCGUAACUAUAACGGUCCUAAGGUAGCGAAAUUCCUUGUCGGGUAAGUUCCGACCUGCACGAAUGGCGUAACGAUGGCCACACUGUCUCCUCCCGAGACUCAGCGAAGUUGAAGUGUUUGUGAUGAUGCAAUCUCCCCGCGGCUAGACGGAAAGACCCCAUGAACCUUUACUGUAGCUUUGCAUUGGACUUUGAACCGGUCUGUGUAGGAUAGGUGGGAGGCUUUGAAGCGUGGACGCCAGUCUGCGUGGAGCCAACCUUGAAAUACCACCCUGGUUUGUUUGAGGUUCUAACCUUGGUCCGUAAUCCGGAUCGGGGACAGUGCAUGGUAGGCAGUUUGACUGGGGCGGUCUCCUCCCAAAGUGUAACGGAGGAGUACGAAGGUACGCUAGGUACGGUCGGAAAUCGUGCUGAUAGUGCAAUGGCAUAAGCGUGCUUAACUGCGAGACCGACAAGUCGAGCAGGUGCGAAAGCAGGUCAUAGUGAUCCGGUGGUUCUGUAUGGAAGGGCCAUCGCUCAACGGAUAAAAGGUACUCUGGGGAUAACAGGCUGAUACCGCCCAAGAGUUCAUAUCGACGGCGGUGUUUGGCACCUCGAUGUCGGCUCAUCUCAUCCUGGGGCUGUAGCCGGUCCCAAGGGUAUGGCUGUUCGCCAUUUAAAGAGGUACGUGAGCUGGGUUUAAAACGUCGUGAGACAGUUUGGUCCCUAUCUGCCGUGGGCGCUGGAUAUUUGAAGGGGGCUGCUCCUAGUACGAGAGGACCGGAGUGGACGAACCUCUGGUGUACCGGUUGUCACGCCAGUGGCAUCGCCGGGUAGCUAUGUUCGGAAGAGAUAACCGCUGAAAGCAUCUAAGCGGGAAACUCGCCUUAAGAUGAGAUAUCCCCGGGGCUUCGAGCCCCUUGAAGGUUCGUUCGAGACCAGGACGUUGAUAGGUCAGGUGUGGAAGCGCAGUAAUGCGUUAAGCUAACUGAUACUAAUUGCCCGUAAGGCUAAA